AAAUUACUAAAAAAUAUCAAAUGAUAAAAUAAAAAAAUAUUAAAAAUCAUUUUUAGAAAGUAGAAAUUAAAAGGAGAAGAAUGAAAUUGAUCCCAUAAUUUUUGGACCAAUAAUGAGAGAGAUAUGAAUUUUCAAAAUGAAAUGGAAUUAAAAUAAUAAAAGGAAAAUAAAAUCAGAAAAUAGAAAAAGAGAAAAAGCGUGAGCCAUUGGAUGAUCUCUCAUUAAUUGA
This 229-nucleotide long non-coding RNA is filed under the name Lathyrus oleraceus (garden pea). RNAcentral describes it as "Pisum sativum (pea) long non-coding RNA (PSAT_LNC036374)". The record is from RNAcentral. Lineage: Eukaryota; Viridiplantae; Streptophyta; Magnoliopsida; Fabales; Fabaceae.